GGAUGGCCGUCAUGGCGCCCCGAACUCUCUCCUGCUACUCUCGGGGGCCCUGGCCCUGACCCAGACCUGGGCGGGCUCCCACUCCAUGAGGUAUUUCUCCACAUCGGUGUCCCGGCCCGGCCGCGGGGAGCCCCGCUUCAUCGCCGUGGGCUACGUGGACGACACGCAGUUCGUGCGGUUCGACAGCGACGCCGCGAGCCAGAGGAUGGAGCCGCGGGCACCGUGGAUAGAGCAGGAGGGUCCGGAGUAUUGGGACCGGGAGACACGGAGUGUGAAGGCCGGCGCACAGAUCUACCGAGCGAACCUGGGGACCCUGCGCGGCUACUACAACCAGAGCGAGGACGGUGAGUGACCCCGGCCCGGGGCACAGGUCACGACCCCUCAUCCCCCACGGACGGGCCGGGUCGCCCACAGUCUCCGGGUCCGAGAUCCACCCCGAAGCCGCGGGACCCCGAGACCCUUGCCCCGGGAGAGGCCCAGGCGCCUUAAUCCGGUUUCAUUUUCAGUUUAGGCCAAAAAUCCCCCCGGGUUGGUCGGGGCCGGGCGGGGCUCGGGGAACAGGGCUGACCGCGGGGUCGGGGCCAGGUUCUCACACCAUCCAGAUAAUGUAUGGCUGCGACGUGGGGUCGGACGGGCGCUUCCUCCGCGGGUAUGAACAGCUCGCCUACGACGGCAAGGAUUACAUCGCCCUGAACGAGGACCUGCGCUCUUGGACCGCGGCGGACAUGGCAGCUCAGAUCACCCAGCGCAAGUGGGAGGCGGUCCAUGCGGCGGAGCAGCAGAGAGCCUACCUGGAGGGCCGGUGCGUGGAGUCGCUCCGCAGAUACCUGGAGAACGGGAAGGAGACGCUGCAGCGCACGGACCCCCCCAAGACACAUAUGACCCACCACCCCAUCUCCGACCAUGAGGCCACCCUGAGGUGCUGGGCCCUGGGCUUCUACCCUGCGGAGAUCACACUGACCUGGCAGCGGGAUGGGGAGGACCAGACCCAGGACACGGAGCUCGUGGAGACCAGGCCUGCAGGGGAUGGAACCUUCCAGAAGUGGGCGGCUGUGGUGGUACCUUCUGGAGAGGAGCAGAGAUACACCUGCCAUGUGCAGCAUGAGGGUCUGCCCAAGCCCCUCACCCUGAGAUGGGAGCCGUCUUCCCAGCCCACCAUCCCCAUCGUGGGCAUCAUUGCUGGCCUGGUUCUCCUUGGAGCUGUGAUCACUGGAGCUGUGGUCGCUGCCGUGAUGUGGAGGAGGAAGAGCUCAGAAAAGGAGGGAGCUACUCUCAGGCUGCAAGCAGUGACAGUGCCCAGGGCUCUGAUGUGUCUCUCACAGCUUGUAAAGUGUGAGACAGCUGCCUUGUGUGGGACUGAGAGGCAAGAGUUGUUCCUGCCCUUCCCUUUGUGACUUGAAGAACCCUGACUUUGUUUCUGCAAAGGCACCUGCAUGUGUCUGUGUUCUUGUAGGCAUAAUGUGAGGAGGUGGGGAGACCACCCCACCCCCAUGUCCACCAUGACCCUCUUCCCAGGCUGACCUGUGCUCCCUCCCCAAUCAUCUUUCCUGUUCCAGAGAGGUGGGGCUGAGGUGUCUCCAUCUCUGUCUCAACUUCAUGGUGCACUGAGCUGUAACUUCUUCCUUCCCUAUUAAAAUUAGAACCUGAGUAUAAAUUUACUUUCUCAAAUUCUUGCCAUGAGAGGUUGAUGAGUUAAUUAAAGGAGAAGAUUCCUAAAAUUUGAGAGACAAAAUAAAUGGAACACAUGAGAACCUUCCAGAGUCCA
This 1765-nucleotide small RNA is filed under the name Pan troglodytes (chimpanzee). RNAcentral's name for it is "retained intron". The record is from RNAcentral. Lineage: Eukaryota; Metazoa; Chordata; Mammalia; Primates; Hominidae.